GACGAACGCUGGCGGCGUGCCUAACACAUGCAAGUCGAACGGUGAAGCACCUUCCUUUCUGUUGGUGUGGUUGAGUGGCAAACGGGUGUGUAACACGUGUGUACUCUGUCCCCUUCUUCUGGAUAACCGCAUGAACGUGUCGCUAACCCGGGAUUUUCUGGGUCCGUCUCAUUGCGUGCCUGGGGAAGAUAUUGUUUUGGCGGAGGGAUGGCUCGCUGUCUAUCAGCUUGUUGGUGGGGUGAGGGCCUACCAAGGCGGUGGCGGGUAGCCGGCCUGAGAGGGUGGACGGUCACACUGGGACUGAGACACGGCCCAGACUCCUACGGGAGGCAGCAGGGGGGAAUAUUGCACAAUGGGCGCAAGCCUGAUGCAGCGACGCCGCGUGAGGGAUGGAGGCCUUCGGGUUGUAAACCUCUUUCGCCAGUGAAGCAGGCCUGUCCCUUUUGUGGGUGGGUUGACGGUAGCUGGAUAAGAAGCGCCGGCUAACUACGUG
RNAcentral lists this ribosomal RNA (493 nucleotides) under uncultured bacterium. RNAcentral describes it as "partial 16S ribosomal RNA". It matches the Rfam family "Bacterial small subunit ribosomal RNA", at positions 28 to 507 of the family's 1533-position model. The record is from RNAcentral.